RNAcentral lists this ribosomal RNA (486 nucleotides) under uncultured bacterium. RNAcentral describes it as "partial 16S ribosomal RNA". It matches the Rfam family "Bacterial small subunit ribosomal RNA", at positions 30 to 507 of the family's 1533-position model. The record is from RNAcentral.
AUUGAACGCUGGCGGCAUGCCUUACACAUGCAAGUCGAACGGCAGCACGGGUGCUUGCACCUGGUGGCGAGUGGCGAACGGGUGAGUAAUACAUCGGAACAUGUCCUGUAGUGGGGGAUAGCCCGGCGAAAGCCGGAUUAAUACCGCAUACGAUCUACGGAUGAGAGCGGGGGACCUUCGUGCCUCGCGCUAUAGGGUUGGCCGAUGGCUGAUUAGCUAGUUGGUGGGGUAAAGGCCUACCAAGGCGACGAUCAGUAGCUGGUCUGAGAGGACGACCAGCCACACUGGGACUGAGACACGGCCCAGACUCCUACGGGAGGCAGCAGUGGGGAAUUUUGGACAAAGGGCGAAAGCCUGAUCCAGCAAUGCCGCGUGUGUGAAGAAGGCCUUCGGGUUGUAAAGCACUUUUGUCCGGAAAGAAAUCCUUGGCCCUAAUACGGUCGGGGGAUGACGGUACCGGAAGAAUAAGCACCGGCUAACUACGUG